UAGAGUUUGAUCAUGGCUCAGAUUGAACGCUGGCGGCAGGCCUAACACAUGCAAGUCGAGCGGUAGAGAGAAGCUUGCUUCUCUUGAGAGCGGCGGACGGGUGAGUAAUGCCUAGGAAUCUGCCUGGUAGUGGGGGAUAACGUUCGGAAACGGACGCUAAUACCGCAUACGUCCUACGGGAGAAAGCAGGGGACCUUCGGGCCUUGCGCUAUCAGAUGAGCCUAGGUCGGAUUAGCUAGUUGGUGGGGUAAUGGCUCACCAAGGCGACGAUCCGUAACUGGUCUGAGAGGAUGAUCAGUCACACUGGAACUGAGACACGGUCCAGACUCCUACGGGAGGCAGCAGUGGGGAAUAUUGGACAAUGGGCGAAAGCCUGAUCCAGCCAUGCCGCGUGUGUGAAGAAGGUCUUCGGAUUGUAAAGCACUUUAAGUUGGGAGGAAGGAUUGUAGAUUAAUACUCUGCAAUUUUGACGUUACCGACAGAAUAAGCACCGGCUAACUCUGUGCCAGCAGCCGCGGUAAUACAGAGGGUGCAAGCGUUAAUCGGAAUUACUGGGCGUAAAGCGCGCGUAGGUGGUUUGUUAAGUUGGAUGUGAAAUCCCCGGGCUCAACCUGGGAACUGCAUUCAAAACUGACUGACUAGAGUAUGGUAGAGGGUGGUGGAAUUUCCUGUGUAGCGGUGAAAUGCGUAGAUAUAGGAAGGAACACCAGUGGCGAAGGCGCCCCC
This 726-nucleotide ribosomal RNA is filed under the name uncultured bacterium. RNAcentral's name for it is "bacterial SSU rRNA". It matches the Rfam family "Bacterial small subunit ribosomal RNA", at positions 1 to 728 of the family's 1533-position model. The record is from RNAcentral.